AGUUGUGCUUCGCUGACGAGUGGCGGACGGGUGAGUAAUGUCUGGGAAACUGCCUGAUGGAGGGGGAUAACUACUGGAAACGGUAGCUAAUACCGCAUAACGUCGCAAGACCAAAGAGGGGGACCUUCGGGCCUCUUGCCAUCGGAUGUGCCCAGAUGGGAUUAGCUAGUAGGUGGGGUAACGGCUCACCUAGGCGACGAUCCCUAGCUGGUCUGAGAGGAUGACCAGCCACACUGGAACUGAGACACGGUCCAGACUCCUACGGGAGGCAGCAGUGGGGAAUAUUGCACAAUGGGCGCAAGCCUGAUGCAGCCAUGCCGCGUGUAUGAAGAAGGCCUUCGGGUUGUAAAGUACUUUCAGCGGGGAGGAAGGGAGUAAAGUUAAUACCUUUGCUCAUUGACGUUACCCGCAGAAGAAGCACCGGCUAACUCCGUGCCAGCAGCCGCGGUAAUACGGAGGGUGCAAGCGUUAAUCGGAAUUACUGGGCGUAAAGCGCACGCAGGCGGUUUGUUAAGUCAGAUGUGAAAUCCCCGGGCUCAACCUGGGAACUGCAUCUGAUACUGGCAAGCUUGAGUCUCGGUAAGGGGGGUAGAAUUCCAGGUGUAGCGGUGAAAUGCGUAAGAUCUGGAGGAAUACCGGUGGCGAANGCGGGCCCCUGGACCAAAGACUGACGCUCANGUGCGAAAGCGUGGGGGAGCACAACAG
RNAcentral lists this ribosomal RNA (705 nucleotides) under Escherichia sp. C39. Its description in RNAcentral is "bacterial SSU rRNA". It matches the Rfam family "Bacterial small subunit ribosomal RNA", at positions 77 to 776 of the family's 1533-position model. The record is from RNAcentral. Lineage: Bacteria; Pseudomonadati; Pseudomonadota; Gammaproteobacteria; Enterobacterales; Enterobacteriaceae.